This 378-nucleotide unclassified non-coding RNA is filed under the name uncultured bacterium. RNAcentral's name for it is "contains 16S-23S intergenic spacer region". The record is from RNAcentral.
UCUCGGCUUAUCACCGGCAGUUCCUCCAGAGUGCCCGGCCCUACCCGAUGGCAACUGAAGGCGAGGGUUGCGCUCGUUGCGCCACUUAAGGCAACACCUCACGGCACGAGCUGACGACAGCCAUGCAGCACCUGUGCAGGCUCCCGAAGGAGCGCCGGCUUUCACCGGUUUCACCCUGCAUGUCAAGCCCUGGUAAGGUUCUUCGCGUUGCAUCGAAUUAAGCCACAUGCUCCGCCGCUUGUGCGGGUCCCCGUCAAUUCCUUUGAGUUUUAGCCUUGCGGCCGUACUCCCCUGGCGGGGCACUUAAUGCGUUAGCUUCGGCACGGAAGGAGUCGACACCUCCCACACCUAGCGCCCAUCGUUUACGGCGUGGACUAC